This 549-nucleotide ribosomal RNA is filed under the name uncultured Glomus. RNAcentral's name for it is "SSU rRNA". It matches the Rfam family "Eukaryotic small subunit ribosomal RNA", at positions 548 to 1098 of the family's 1831-position model. Lineage: Eukaryota; Fungi; Glomeromycota; Glomeromycetes; Glomerales; Glomeraceae. The record is from RNAcentral.
UUGGAGGGCAAGUCUGGUGCCAGCAGCCGCGGUAAUUCCAGCUCCAAUAGCGUACAUUAAAGUUGUUGCAGUUAAAAAGCUCGUAGUUGAAUUUCGGGGUCAGUAGGUUGGUCGUGCCACCGGUACGUACUGGUCUCACUGAUUCCUCCUUCCUGAUGAGCUGUAAUGCCAUUAAUUUGGUGUUGCAGGGAAUCUGGACUGUUACUUUGAAAAAAUUAGAGUGUUUAAAGCAGGCUAACGCUUGAAUACAUUAGCAUGGAAUAAUGAAAUAGGACGUUCGAUCCUAUUUUGUUGGUUUCUAGGAUUGACGUAAUGAUUAAUAGGGAUAGUUGGGGGCAUUAGUAUUCAAUUGUCAGAGGUGAAAUUCUUGGAUUUAUUGAAGACUAACUACUGCGAAAGCAUUUGCCAAGGAUGUUUUCAUUAAUCAAGAACGAAAGUUAGGGGAUCGAAGACGAUCAGAUACCGUCGUAGUCUUAACCAUAAACUAUGCCGACUAGGGAUCGGAUGAUGUUAAUUUUUUAAUGACUCAUUCGGCGCCUUACGGGAAAC